Molecule: ribosomal RNA, 409 nt
Filed under: bacterium
Lineage: Bacteria
Description: partial 16S ribosomal RNA
Rfam family: Bacterial small subunit ribosomal RNA
Source: RNAcentral
UGGGGAAUAUUGCACAAUGGGCGAAAGCCUGAUGCAGCGACGCCGCGUGAGGGAUGACGGCCUUCGGGUUGUAAACCUCUUUCAGUAGGGACGAAGCGCAAGUGACGGUACCUGCAGAAGAAGCACCGGCUAACUACGUGCCAGCAGCCGCGGUAAUACGUAGGGUGCGAGCGUUGUCCGGAAUUACUGGGCGUAAAGAGCUCGUAGGCGGUUUGUCACGUCGUCUGUGAAAUCCUAGGGCUUAACCCUGGACGUGCAGGCGAUACGGGCUGACUUGAGUACUACAGGGGAGACUGGAAUUUCUGGUGUAGCAGUGGAAUGCACAGAUAUCAGGAAGAACACCGAUGGCGAAGGCAGGUCUCUGGGUAGUAACUGACGCUGAGGAGCGAAAGCAUGGGUAGCGAUCAGG